CCUACGUGUGGCAGCAGUGGGGAAUAUUGCGCAAUGGGCGAAAGCCUGACGCAGCGACGCCGCGUGAGGGAUGAAGGUCUUCGGAUCGUAAACCUCUGUCAGCAGGGAAGAACGGUCACUGUGCUAAUCAGCAGUGAAUUGACGGUACCUGCAAAGGAAGCACCGGCUAACUCCGUGCCAGCAGCCGCGGUAAUACGGAGGGUGCGAGCGUUAAUCGGAAUUACUGGGCGUAAGGCGCACGUAGGCGGUAUGUCAAGUCAAGGGUGAAAUCCCCGCGCUCAACGUGGGAACUGCCUUUGAAACUGGCAAACUGGAGUGUGUGAGAGGAUAGUGGAAUUCCAGGUGUAGGAGUGAAAUCCGUAGAUAUCUGGAGGAACAUCAGUGGCGAAGGCGACUAUCUGGCACAUAACUGACGCUGAGGAGCGAAAGCGUGGGUAUCAAACAGGAUUAGAUACCCUAGUAGUC
RNAcentral lists this ribosomal RNA (465 nucleotides) under uncultured bacterium. RNAcentral describes it as "partial 16S ribosomal RNA". It matches the Rfam family "Bacterial small subunit ribosomal RNA", at positions 338 to 795 of the family's 1533-position model. The record is from RNAcentral.